RNAcentral lists this ribosomal RNA (776 nucleotides) under uncultured Neocallimastigales. Its description in RNAcentral is "partial large subunit ribosomal RNA". It matches the Rfam family "Eukaryotic large subunit ribosomal RNA", at positions 18 to 625 of the family's 3401-position model. The record is from RNAcentral. Lineage: Eukaryota; Fungi; Neocallimastigomycota; Neocallimastigomycetes; Neocallimastigales.
CUCAGACGAUGCGUCAUGCAUAUCAAUAAGCGGAGGAAAAGAAACUAACUAGGAUUCCCUCAGUAACGGCGAGUGAAGCGGGAAGAGCUCAAAUUUGAAAUCUUCAAGGUUCUACCUUGACGAAUUGUAGUUUAAAGAAGUGUUUUCUGUUGGAGUUUUGGUAAAAGUUCUUUGGAAUAGGACAUCAUAGAGGGUGAGAAUCCCGUAUUUGACCAUUAUUUCCAGCUUUGUGAUACACUUUCAAAGAGUCGGAUUGUUUGGGAAUGCAGUCCAAAAUGGGUGGUAAAUUUCAUCUAAAGCUAAAUAUUGGCGAGAGACCGAUAGCGAACAAGUACCGUGAGGGAAAGAUGAAAAGAACUUUGAAAAGAGAGUUAAACAGUACGUGAAAUUGUCAAAAGGGAAGCGUUUGACACCAGUGUUGUUUUCUCGAAAAUCAAUUAAAAAAGGCAGGAUUUUGUGUUGUAUUGACUUUAUCAGCUUUCUGCACUCUUUUCUUGUCUUUUUUUAAUGCACUUUUCGUUUAACAAGUCAACAUCAAUUUCUUUUGUUGUAAAAGGGUCAUUGGAAGGUGGCUUUCUUUUCGGAGAAAGUGUUUAUAGCCUUUGGCCUCUGCAAUCGGAGAGAUUGAGGUCUGCAGCGUAGAUCCUUCGGGGUUAGAUACAUUUGUGCUAAGUUAUAGCCUUUCAUAGACAACUUGUUGACUAUGAUCAGUCAUGUAGCUUACUCGCUUAUGCUAUUUUACCUACGCUUAGGAUGUUGAUCUACAGAGCGAGAGU